GAGCGAUCAUAAGGGAGCUGACUGCAAAUCUGCCGUCAUCGACUUCAAGGUUCGACUCGAGCAAUAGUGAGAGAACGUUGCCGCAGGCGACGGCCCGAAGGGUGAGGAGCUUUAGCUCCGAAUAAUCCUUCCCGCUAUAGAA
This 142-nucleotide small RNA is filed under the name Salmonella enterica. RNAcentral describes it as "RtT sRNA". It matches the Rfam family "RtT RNA". Rfam says of the family: This family represents a bacterial cis-regulatory element known as RtT RNA. The exact function of RtT is unknown although it is thought that it may be involved in changing the cellular response in relation to amino acid starvation. The record is from RNAcentral. RNAcentral also lists the same sequence under 1 other name. Lineage: Bacteria; Pseudomonadati; Pseudomonadota; Gammaproteobacteria; Enterobacterales; Enterobacteriaceae.